Molecule: small nuclear RNA, 105 nt
Organism: Meriones unguiculatus (Mongolian gerbil)
Lineage: Eukaryota; Metazoa; Chordata; Mammalia; Rodentia; Muridae
Source: Ensembl
GUGGUCACUUUGGCAGCACAGAUACUCAGACUGGAACAAUACAGAGAUGAUUGGCACGGAGCUGCCAAGGAUGACAUGCACGCUCAUGAAGCAUUUUAUCCUUUU